GGUCACGAGUACCAGUGUUCAGCCCCGGCUUGCUGGUCGGCAACCCUCCUCCGCGGUGGGGUGCUCCGGGUGACGACCCGGCUGCGUUCGAAAACGAAUGCGGCAAGCGCGGACU
This 115-nucleotide non-coding RNA is filed under the name Rhodococcus erythropolis. Its description in RNAcentral is "SAM-IV sequence". It matches the Rfam family "SAM (S-adenosyl methionine) riboswitch aptamer". From Rfam's summary of the family: SAM-IV is a mRNA element that regulates gene expression via direct sensing of S-adenosylmethionine (SAM or AdoMet). SAM-IV riboswitches share conserved nucleotide positions with the previously described SAM-I riboswitches sequence analysis and molecular recognition experiments suggest that SAM-I and SAM-IV riboswitches share similar ligand binding sites, but have different scaffolds. The record is from RNAcentral. Lineage: Bacteria; Bacillati; Actinomycetota; Actinomycetes; Mycobacteriales; Nocardiaceae.